UACAUUUGAUUUCGUCUGUUUUUGAUCAAGCUUCUGGUUUUGAGGUUUGUUUACUGUGAUUAUGAAGAAUCUGUGACGAUUUGGAACAUACUAAGGUAGAGAUCAAUGGAUUGUGAACUCAGUGUGGUUUGAUAUAUUUGAUUUGAACAUACUCUGAUUUGAUGCAUCUCAUAUCAAAUUUAUGUGAUCCUCUUUAGAUUUUGAGUGUUACUCAAGCCUGUUUUUCUUAAGCUAAUGAUACUCUUUGCAUGAUGUUUUUUCAGCCUCUGCUUCAUCCACAGUUAAGAAAGUUGCUGCUUCUCCUAAUGCACCAAAAACUGGUAUGAUCUUCUUUGUUAUGAUACUUGAUUUUGCUACAAUGAAGUGAUGAGGUCAAUCGUUUUCUUGUUUAAUUCUGAUUUUAUGGUAGAGAUCAAUGGAUCAUGAUCCCAGUGAUUGGUGUAUUUGAUUCGAACAUA
This 458-nucleotide long non-coding RNA is filed under the name Capsella grandiflora. Its description in RNAcentral is "long non-coding RNA (CGRA_LNC000849)". The record is from RNAcentral. Lineage: Eukaryota; Viridiplantae; Streptophyta; Magnoliopsida; Brassicales; Brassicaceae.